Acanthosepion pharaonis is the source of this 98-nucleotide non-coding RNA. Lineage: Eukaryota; Metazoa; Mollusca; Cephalopoda; Sepiida; Sepiidae. The record is from the annotation of a GenBank genome assembly.
UUAAAACAUCAGUUCCUAUACAGUCACCGAAGUUAAGCAAUGUUGAGCAUGUUUAGUAUUUAGAUGGGUGAUCACUUGGGAAUACCAGGUGCUGUAAU